RNAcentral lists this ribosomal RNA (253 nucleotides) under uncultured bacterium. RNAcentral's name for it is "partial 16S ribosomal RNA". It matches the Rfam family "Bacterial small subunit ribosomal RNA", at positions 524 to 776 of the family's 1533-position model. The record is from RNAcentral.
UACGAAGGGGGCUAGCGUUGCUCGGAAUCACUGGGCGUAAAGGGUGCGUAGGCGGGUCUUUAAGUCAGGGGUGAAAUCCUGGAGCUCAACUCCAGAACUGCCUUCGAUACUGGAGAGCUUGAGUCCGGGAGAGGUGAGUGGAGCUGCGAGUGUAGAGGUGAAAUUCGUAGAUAUUCGCAAGAACACCAGUGGCGAAGGCGGCUCACUGGCCCGGUACUGACGCUGAGGUGCGAAAGCGUGGGGAGCAAACAGG